CUGUGAGCUCGAUGAGUAGGGCGGGACACGUGGUAUCCUGUCUGAAUAUGGGGGGACCAUCCUCCAAGGCUAAAUACUCCUGACUGACCGAUAGUGAACCAGUACCGUGAGGGAAAGGCGAAAAGAACCCCGGCGAGGGGAGUGAAAAAGAACCUGAAACCGUGUACGUACAAGCAGUGGGAGCCUCUUUAUGGGGUGACUGCGUACCUUUUGUAUAAUGGGUCAGCGACUUAUAUUCUGUAGCAAGGUUAACCGAAUAGGGGAGCCGAAGGGAAACCGAGUCUUAACUGGGCGUUAAGUUGCAGGGUAUAGACCCGAAACCCGGUGAUCUAGCCAUGGGCAGGUUGAAGGUUGGGUAACACUAACUGGAGGACCGAACCGACUAAUGUUGAAAAAUUAGCGGAUGACUUGUGGCUGGGGGUGAAAGGCCAAUCAAACCGGGAGAUAGCUGGUUCUCCCCGAAAGCUAUUUAGGUAGCGCCUCGUGAAUUCAUCUCCGGGGGUAGAGCACUGUUUCGGCAAGGGGGUCAUCCCGACUUACCAACCCGAUGCAAACUGCGAAUACCGGAGAAUGUUAUCACGGGAGACACACGGCGGGUGCUAACGUCCGUCGUGAAGAGGGAAACAACCCAGACCGCCAGCUAAGGUCCCAAAGUCAUGGUUAAGUGGGAAACGAUGUGGGAAGGCCCAGACAGCCAGGAUGUUGGCUUAGAAGCAGCCAUCAUUUAAAGAAAGCGUAAUAGCUCACUGGUCGAGUCGGCCUGCGCGGAAGAUGUAACGGGGCUAAACCAUGCACCGAAGCUGCGGCAGCGACGCUUAUGCGUUGUUGGGUAGGGGAGCGUUCUGUAAGCCUGUGAAGGUGUACUGUGAGGUAUGCUGGAGGUAUCAGAAGUGCGAAUGCUGACAUAAGUAACGAUAAAGCGGGUGAAAAGCCCGCUCGCCGGAAGACCAAGGGUUCCUGUCCAACGUUAAUCGGGGCAGGGUGAGUCGACCCCUAAGGCGAGGCCGAAAGGCGUAGUCGAUGGGAAACAGGUUAAUAUUCCUGUACUUGGUGUUACUGCGAAGGGGGGACGGAGAAGGCUAUGUUGGCCGGGCGACGGUUGUCCCGGUUUAAGCGUGUAGGCUGGUUUUCCAGGCAAAUCCGGAAAAUCAAGGCUGAGGCGUGAUGACGAGGCACUACGGUGCUGAAGCAACAAAUGCCCUGCUUCCAGGAAAAGCCUCUAAGCAUCAGGUAACAUCAAAUCGUACCCCAAACCGACACAGGUGGUCAGGUAGAGAAUACCAAGGCGCUUGAGAGAACUCGGGUGAAGGAACUAGGCAAAAUGGUGCCGUAACUUCGGGAGAAGGCACGCUGAUAUGUAGGUGAAGCGACUUGCUCGUGGAGCUGAAAUCAGUCGAAGAUACCAGCUGGCUGCAACUGUUUAUUAAAAACACAGCACUGUGCAAACACGAAAGUGGACGUAUACGGUGUGACGCCUGCCCGGUGCCGGAAGGUUAAUUGAUGGGGUUAGCGGUAACGCGAAGCUCUUGAUCGAAGCCCCGGUAAACGGCGGCCGUAACUAUAACGGUCCUAAGGUAGCGAAAUUCCUUGUCGGGUAAGUUCCGACCUGCACGAAUGGCGUAAUGAUGGCCAGGCUGUCUCCACCCGAGACUCAGUGAAAUUGAACUCGCUGUGAAGAUGCAGUGUACCCGCGGCAAGACGGAAAGACCCCGUGAACCUUUACUAUAGCUUGACACUGAACAUUGAGCCUUGAUGUGUAGGAUAGGUGGGAGGCUUUGAAGUGUGG
This 1786-nucleotide ribosomal RNA is filed under the name Escherichia coli. RNAcentral describes it as "partial 23S ribosomal RNA". It matches the Rfam family "Bacterial large subunit ribosomal RNA", at positions 397 to 2167 of the family's 2925-position model. Lineage: Bacteria; Pseudomonadati; Pseudomonadota; Gammaproteobacteria; Enterobacterales; Enterobacteriaceae. The record is from RNAcentral.